UUCCUAGGGGUUCCAGAGAUUACUUGAGGCACUUUGCAUUCCAUCAUUUCUGGUGUCUCAACAGAUUCCCCCUGACAAAACUGAGUCUGGCUUUGCAGAUUCAAAGGAGAGUUUAUCCGUUCCACUGGUCCAUUCAAGUCGAUUGUAUGUCCAUUUAAGGGAUUUAAAUUGCACAUAUGUUGGCUUUGACUAGUUUCGUUAAAACUCAAAGGAGGUUGAGAACCUAAAUUAUCACCAUCUUUAUUGAAGCUUUGUCGAGGCACAUGAAGUGUAUGUACAGAGAAAUUUACCCUGUCAUGUGAGGAACCGUCUACCAUUGCAGUAUUAUCCCCACUCUUACCA
This 342-nucleotide long non-coding RNA is filed under the name Vitis vinifera (wine grape). RNAcentral's name for it is "long non-coding RNA (VVIN_LNC006110)". Lineage: Eukaryota; Viridiplantae; Streptophyta; Magnoliopsida; Vitales; Vitaceae. The record is from RNAcentral.